CAGCAGCCGCGGUAAUACGUAGGGUGCAAGCUUUAAUCGGAAUUACUGGGCGUAAAGCGUGCGCAGGCGGUUCGGAAAGAAAGAUGUGAAAUCCCAGAGCUUAACUUUGGAACUGCAUUUUUAACUACCGGGCUAGAGUGUGUCAGAGGGAGGUGGAAUUCCGCGUGUAGCAGUGAAAUGCGUAGAUAUGCGGAGGAACACCGAUGGCGAAGGCAGCCUCCUGGGAUAACACUGACGCUCAUGCACGAAAGCGUGGGGAGCAAACAGGAUUAGAUACCCUGGUAGUCCACGCCCUAAACGAUGUCAACUAGCUGUUGGGGCCUUCGGGCCUUGGUAGCGCAGCUAACGCGUGAAGUUGACCGCCUGGGGAGUACGGUCGCAAGAUUAAAACUUAAAGGAAUUGGCGGG
This 408-nucleotide ribosomal RNA is filed under the name uncultured microorganism. Its description in RNAcentral is "bacterial SSU rRNA". It matches the Rfam family "Bacterial small subunit ribosomal RNA", at positions 509 to 917 of the family's 1533-position model. The record is from RNAcentral.